RNAcentral lists this transfer RNA (3351 nucleotides) under Sus scrofa (pig). RNAcentral describes it as "lncRNA (ENSSSCG00000053871.1)". Lineage: Eukaryota; Metazoa; Chordata; Mammalia; Artiodactyla; Suidae. The record is from RNAcentral.
UAUUUGUUUUUUUGUUUAUCGUCUUAAUCUCAUUUAGAAAAUAAAUUUCAUGAGUAAAAAUAUUCCCAUUAUUCAUCACUGAAUUGUGGGAGCUGAUGCACUAUCAGCAUAUGGUAGGGGCUGAGUACGUAGUGGCUUGUUUGAACUUGGGGCUGCACAGCAUAGCUACUAAUGCUGUCUACAGCUUCAAAUCACAGCAGCCUCAUUUCAAGCCCUGCAUUAUUUCCUUUCUUGCCCUUUGCCCUUAGCAAUCCACUCGGCUAAUUUGAACCGGAUUCCUCCUGACUGUGUAUGUUAACAUAAUGAUCAGUAACACUUAUGGAAUGUGCGACAUGUGUAAAUCAUUCUGAGAGAGAUUUGAAUGGGUUAGUUAUUUGAACUGUUACAAGAAUCCUAAGAAGAAAGCAUUAGUAAGAUUCCCACUGUUUAGACUGAGAAAACUGAGUGUAACAGGGUUAAGGGGCCUUUCUAAAAGUCCCAGAGCUACAGUCUUACUCCAGAGACUGUGUUCUGAGGAUGACGUGUGAUAAUCUCUGAAAAGCUGUGGGGCUGGUGAUUCUAAUUACUGAGCCGAGAAGGUAUAGGUAGGUCUAGAAAUCACUUGAGUUACACUCUUGCAACAAAAAUUCCAGAUUGUAGUAGCCAUGGAGCAUGAGUUUGGGCCUUCUCUAUAUUGUCCUGCCUGCCUGGUGUAAACCAUUACACCUGGUGUACUGAUAUCAGAACAAGGAAAGUUUUUGAUUAUAUACUUUUCCUUAAGCACAAUGUUCAGUUUUCACAUCUUGUGUUCAUUAAAUCUUUUAAAUUCCAGUUAAAGUCACAUGGUCUGAUUUUAUUUGUUCAGAUUAUUCACUUGACGUCUUACAAAUUGAUGUAAGGGCUGUUGUUAAAAUAAUGCACAUACCACCAUCACAUCUUAUCAGAGACUACUUACUCCCAAGAAAAAAAAUGAAGCGGUGUCAAAUUUAAAUUUCAAAUAAAUAUUUCAUUUUGGAGGGGAUGUGUUUGUAGGUUUCAAAACACUCAAGCUUAAAUUAUUGAAGUACUAAUUGGAUAAUUCCCUACUGUACUGUGUUCUGUGUCCAAUUAGAAUGUAUGUCACUCUCCUUUAAGGUCUUACGGUAGCUUAUUCCUACCACUUAGCCCAUCAUCAAUCAGGAAGUGUUCUGGUGGUUUGUGGUGUUUGUGUUGUUGUUUUGUUUUGAAAUUUUAUAGCCCCAUUCAAUUCUGAGAGCCUCACAGACAAAUGCUGCAGACUAGCCAUAUAAUGAAUGAAUGCCCUAGCGCUUGGCAUCUUAUGUCCUACCUCUUGCAAACUCCUACAUGUCUGUGGAUUUCCAUGUGUUCUCUAAUGAUAAAACAAGGAAAAGCCCAGUAAUAAGAGAUGAUUAAUGAACAAUUGGGGGGGGGUGUCACGUUUUGGUGCUCUGACAAUAUCCCACCUCAGAGCGCCUCCUUGUUGGAAGGAGGGAUGCUUCGAUGUAAAGUAAUAGAACGUACAUCAGACAAUGUCACCUUCAUGUGUAGCUGGUGUUUCAAUACAGAGGGUCGGGAACUGUAAACCCAGGUUCUGCUCUGACCAUCUGCUAUUGCACUAGCCCCUGAUGGGCAUCUUUUGCCAGGUAUAUUAUGACUGUCUAGUGACGGCAACAACAGGAAGAAUGUAAAACAGACUUAAUUUAUCAGUGAGCCCUUCCCCCCUGCUUCUAUGCCUCCUUCUCCAGGAGGACUGUUGAAAAAUGGCUAUAAAAGACAGGAUGUUAUCAACCUUAUAUCGACAACAUUCGUUAACCAUCUCUAUGCAGUAAGUGUUUUUUUCCCCUGUAAUUAUAGACCUCGUAUCUUCCUCAAAUUCUGCGCACCUAAGGUAGGUAGUGGGGAUGGUAAGACUGGUGUGUGUAAAGCGCCUCGUGAAUUACAGUGACGCAGAGAGCCCAGCCCGUAGCUGGCUACCUCUGCUUUAAUGGAAAGAACUUGUCUUUUUUACGGGGUUAGAUAAGGAUUUGCAUAUAUUACCUCCAUUCACACCAGCCAGAAAAUUAUGCAGUAGGUGCUAUUUUAACCCCAUUUUACAAAUGAGAAAAUCGAGGCUUAAAUAACAGUAAAUUGACAGUAGCUGAUAGAACAAGGAAAAUUGCAGUCUGUCUUAUUUCAACUUCCAUGCGCUUAAACCUUAACCAUGACUUGUAGUGAAUCUCCAUCCUAACCUGUAAUAAAUUAUAACUAUUUGGAUGAUUUUAUCUUUCAGUGUCUUCCAGACUUCACGGAUAUUGUAUAAUUAUGUUUGUAAUAACGCACAAUAUUGAGAUAGGGGAAAUGACACAGAUGGGAAGAAAUAAUGCCGAUACCGUACAAUUCACUAUCCCAGGGGGCGGAGGGGCUCCAGAACCCCUGGUAGCCUGUCUGAAUUCUUCUAAAUGCAGCAUGAUUUAUGGAGUCCUUAUGACAUAAUGUGAAAGCACUCUUUCCUGAUUUCAGACUGUUUCAUUCUAGCUCGCGACUGCAUUCUUCACCGCGCGCCCGGGCUCGAAUUCUUUCGCCCUUCGUUAGCAUCAUCGUGUUGUUUAUUGUGGGCUUGUCAUGGUCAUGUGUUCGGCAUUGUGCAUAGUGGUAAGAGCCAUGGGUGAAAGAAAUAUUGCCUCUGCUUUCAGAGACAUCAUAGACAAGUAGCGACAAUGACGGAGAAGCAGGUAGCCUGCCGUGGACACGGGUGUUUGGUCAUAGAUAAGGUAUAUGCUGUCUUCUUCACCCUCCUCUCCUCCAAGAGUCAGGCAAGAAGCAGGAAUUUGGAGGAGGGGGAUGAGGAGAGGAGGGAGAGGACAGGGAAGAAGAGAAGGGUCAGGAGCAGGAAAAGAAUGAAAGCCAAGCAUUUGCUUCAAAGUGCAAAUCAUCCUCAAGCGGGUAGGUCGAGUCCACCUUCUCCACAGUUUUAUCUCUGACUUUCUUACCUGGAAAGAAGCUUCCCCUUUUCUGAACUGUCAUGGUUUCUACUUUGUAUUGUUUACACACACACACACAAUUUUGGCCACACCUGUGACAUGUGGGAAUUGUUCCCAGGCCAGGGAUUGAACCUGAGUCACAGCAGUGACAAAGCCAAGCUCUUAACUGCUAAGCCAUCUGAGAACUCCAACAUAUAUUACUGCUAUGCAUGACUUUCUCUCCUAGAUAGAUAGGAAAAUACAUGUAUUUUAUCUAUUUCCUAGAAUAAAUAGUAUAGCUACGUUAACUCAGUAGAUGUCCAGUGCCUAUAUUUUGAUUCAUGGAAUAAAUUAUAAAUAGCAUAAAUAGAACAGUGGCAUGCCAUGUGAGUUUGUUCCCUGGGCCAGGAACUUCCAUGUACUGUGGAUAUGG